CCUCGAGCCUUGAUGCUUCGCCGGGGCUUUACCCUUCCGGGAGCAUGGUUCAGGGCCUUCACCUCUCCAAUUGCGCGUUAGCGCACUUGCCUGCCCUUGCUCCUGAGAGUCUGACUCCGCCGAGUCAUCUGCCAAACAGGGGUUUCCUCUUGCAUCCCGUUCCAGUUGUUGUUGAGGGAGGACCUUAGCCAGGGCCUUCUCCACAGAGGUGGCCACAGCCACAUUAAUCACAGCCUGCAAAUUCUGCUCCUGUGUAGAGGUUUCCAUAGUGCAGGAGGUGAUGCAAUGUGAUACCUAGAGGAGACAGAGGACAGGUAUCACUAGCAGGCAGCUAAACACCUAAC
Molecule: non-coding RNA, 344 nt
Organism: Pelobates cultripes (western spadefoot toad)
Lineage: Eukaryota; Metazoa; Chordata; Amphibia; Anura; Pelobatidae
Source: the annotation of a GenBank genome assembly